RNAcentral lists this long non-coding RNA (1937 nucleotides) under Citrus sinensis (sweet orange). Its description in RNAcentral is "long non-coding RNA (CSIN_LNC000231)". The record is from RNAcentral. Lineage: Eukaryota; Viridiplantae; Streptophyta; Magnoliopsida; Sapindales; Rutaceae.
UGUGAUAAAAAAGAAGGUAUUUUCGAAUACCUCACUUAAGUUAGAAUGUUGGAAAUGAGGAUGAUGAUGAUGGGAUCAUAUUGGAGUUGGACUGAAUUUAGCUACCAAUCUUCUCGAACCUAAGACCAAGUUGUAAGGUGCUCCAAGCACCAUACCACCGUGUUCAUAAGAAGAUUGGUGAUACUGACAUACAUUUUUUUCAUUUCCCUUUUAUGCACAACUUAAGUUAGUGGAACUAAAAAUAAACUUGACAAUUUUUUUUUUUUUUUAAGCUUUCUACAACAUUAAAUAAAAUAAUAAUACAUGCGUACUUUUAUAUAUAACAUAUACAGUAUACUCGAUGGAUAUUGAACGCCGGCGACAUCUGGAGGAUCAUCACCACCCGUGGCUAGUGAAGCCAUAGGUGAUUUUUAGUGCUUCAAACUUCAAAAUUACGAAUUUACCGUUGUCGGUCAAAGAUGGCCGGUAGUUAAGCUCGGACGUUAGCUCUUCAGGCCACGUUUAUUCCGAUGAUGAUGGCGGUGUGCUUUCACGCGCAGCUGUGGCGUCGGAUCAAAGCUCAUGAGCCCGUGAGUCUCCAACAGCUGAUUGGCAGCGGGAAUUGCCAAUUUGGUGCCUAAGGUUGACUGAAAAUGAAGAGAGAAGCUUGAAGAACCAAACCCAGGUGGUGAAUGGCCGGAAAUUAGCGAAAUCAGGCGAAAAAGAUGCGGCUUUUGCCGCGGUUUCGCAAGCUCGAUCCGCGGUCUUCCAGUUGUUUUGCGGCGGCGUUUGCGGCAGGGGAACGACCGGCGUAGCUCUAGCUUCCGAUUGGUACGUCACUUGGUCGAUGAGGUGGCCGGAGAUGUGAGGUCCGUCCGGGUCGGGGUUACCGGGUCGGGUCUAUCACGGGUUUUGCCUAGAGGAAAUCUAUUACGGGUAUUCCCAUAGCACCAUCGAUUGAAAAGGUAUACAUUAAUAUUAAUAAACAAAAAUUGUUAUCCCAACAUUUGAAAUGUAUAACAGUUGAUGCUAAAAAUUACUAAAAUAAAAAGAUAAUACUUAUAUUAUAAAAAGAAAUUCUAAAAUAAAGAAAUGCAUAUUUGUUGAAAACCUAAACAAUGGUUAAAAUCUGAUAGUUCUUGUAACAAAAUACAAAUUUUAUUAUAAGUUUUGAAAUGAUAUAUUAUAUAUAUAAAAAAAAGGAUAAAUCAUUUGUCUAAUGGAACGACAAUUUCACUCUACGUAAUAAGAAAGAGAUUCCUAUAGUAGACAUAUUUGUGGUGUAUUAUUGACAAAACAAAAGGUAUUUUAGAAUACCUCAUUGAAGAGUAUCAAGGAACUUGUUAUAUUUUCAAAGGGGUGUUCCAAAAGCUACCAAUUUUCUCGAACCAAGGCCAAGCGGAAUGAUGAUUGAUGCCUCGAACAUCACACCGCCCGAUCCCGGCGAAUGCUGGUGAUUCGCGUGCGCGGCAUUUUUUAUUUAUUAUUUUCUCUUGAACGCACUCAAUGAAAAAUUAAACUCUCUCUAUCAAAUGAUGUAACGAUGCCAAGUAAAUUUAUGAUGAUAGGUGAAUUAAUAAGUUGUGAUACAAAAUUUAACAAAUGAGGGGUUUAUAUAGUAAAAUGUUUCUCGAGAAUAAUUUGGAAUGUAAUUUAUUUCGCAAAUAUAGCAUUCUGAAAUGUUAAGACUUUGGUAUUGAUCUUGUACCAUCUAAUUCUGAGAAAGAUAAUUUAUUAAUAUUUUUUCAAAUAUAGUGGCAUAAUUUAACUAAAGCAGAUUCUUAUUUUUAUUUUUGAAAAGGUAAGGUAUUUUGGAAUACCUUGUUUAAGGUGGAAAGGAGUAUUUUGAGAGGAAUUAUUUUGAAGGGUGCUCAAAAGCCAUACCAGUUCUCUCGAACACGCGACUAGGCGAGGUGGUUCCAUAAGCACCAGACCACCGAGUCACUGGAAAGAUUGGU